RNAcentral lists this ribosomal RNA (562 nucleotides) under uncultured Micrococcus sp. RNAcentral's name for it is "bacterial SSU rRNA". It matches the Rfam family "Bacterial small subunit ribosomal RNA", at positions 268 to 842 of the family's 1533-position model. Lineage: Bacteria; Bacillati; Actinomycetota; Actinomycetes; Micrococcales; Micrococcaceae. The record is from RNAcentral.
CCGGACCGACCGGGUAGCCGGCCGUGAGAGGGUGACCGGUCACACUGGGACUGAGACACGGCCCAGACUCCUACGGGAGGCAGCAGUGGGGAAGUAUUGGACAAUGGGCGGAAGCCUGAUCCAGCAACGCCGCGUGAGGGAUCACGGCCUUCGGGUUGUAAACCUCUUUCGGUAGGGACGAAGCGCAAGUGACGGUACCUACUAAAGAAGCACCGGCUAACUACGUGCCAGCAGCCGCGGUAAUACGUAGGGUGCGAGCGUUAUCCGGAAUUAUUGGGCGUAAAGAGCUCGUAGGCGGUUUGUCGCGUCUGUCGUGAAAGUCCGGGGCUUAACCCCGGAUCUGCGGUGGGUACGGGCAGACUAGAGUGCAGUAGGGGAGACUGGAAUUCCUGGUGUAGCGGUGGAAUGCGCAGAUAUCAGGAGGAACACCGACGGCGAAGGCAGGUCUCUGGGCUGUAACUGACGCUGAGGAGCGAAAGCAUGGGGAGCGAACAGGAUUAGAUACCCUGGUAGUCCAUGCCGUAAACGUUGGGCACUAGGUGUGGGACCAUUCCACGGUUUC